AAUUAAAUAGCUUAAUUUUAAAGCCUUGUUUUGAAGAAACGAAGAUAAUCUUAUUUUUAAUUA
This 63-nucleotide transfer RNA is filed under the name Thulinius sp. DVL-2010. Its description in RNAcentral is "tRNA-Phe". Lineage: Eukaryota; Metazoa; Tardigrada; Eutardigrada; Parachela; Doryphoribiidae. The record is from RNAcentral.